This 75-nucleotide antisense RNA is filed under the name Micromonospora aurantiaca (nom. illeg.). RNAcentral's name for it is "Micromonospora aurantiaca ASpks TB sRNA". It matches the Rfam family "ASpks TB sRNA". Lineage: Bacteria; Bacillati; Actinomycetota; Actinomycetes; Micromonosporales; Micromonosporaceae. The record is from RNAcentral. RNAcentral also lists the same sequence under 2 other names.
CUUGAUCGAGCCGAGCAGCAACGGCCGGUCGGCGGGGCGGUCCCGCCCGUACGUGGCCAGCAGGGCCUGCGCCUC